Molecule: ribosomal RNA, 518 nt
Filed under: uncultured Planctomycetota bacterium
Lineage: Bacteria; Pseudomonadati; Planctomycetota
Description: bacterial SSU rRNA
Rfam family: Bacterial small subunit ribosomal RNA
Source: RNAcentral
GUUCGGAUUCACUGGGCAUAAAGAGCACGUAGGCGGUCUGCUCAGUCGGGUGUGAAAGCCCACGGCCUAACCGUGGAACUGCACCCGAUACUGGUAGACUCGAGGACGGAAGGGGUGAGUGGAACUCCAGGUGGAACGGUGAAAUGUAUAGAUAUCUGGAGGAACACCGGUGGCGAAAGCGGCUCACUGGUCCGUCUCUGACGCUGAGGUGCGAAAGCUAGGGUAGCGAACGGGAUUAGAUACCCCGGUAGUCCUAGCCGUAAACGAUGGGCACUAGGCAAUGGACCAUCCUAUGGGGUUCAUUGCCGUAGCUAAUGUGUUAAGUGCCCCGCCUGGGGAGUACGCUCGCAAGAGUAAAACUCAAAGGAAUUGACGGGGGAUCACACAAGCGGUGGAGCAUGUUGUUUAAUUCGAAGCAACGCGAAGAACCUUACCAGGCCUUGACAUGUACGGAUUAGCUCCUUGAAAGGGGAGUGACAUCUCUUCGGAGUCGGAACGUACACAGGUGUUGCAUGGCU